GACGAACGCUGGCGGCGUGCUUAACACAUGCAAGUCGAACGGCAAGGCCCUGCUUUUGUGGGGUGCUCGAGUGGCGAACGGGUGAGUAACACGUGAGUAACCUGCCCUUGACUUUGGGAUAACUUCAGGAAACUGGGGCUAAUCCCGGAUAGGAGCUCCUGCUGCAUGGUGGGGGUUGGAAAGUUUCGGCGGUUGGGGAUGGACUCGCGGCUUAUCAGCUUGUUGGUGGGGUAGUGGCUUACCAAGGCUUUGACGGGUAGCCGGCCUGAGAGGGUGACCGGCGACAUUGGGACUGAGAUACGGCCCAGACGCCUACGGGAGGCAGCAGUGGGGAAGAUUGCACAAUGGGCGGAAGCCUGAUGCAGCAACGCCGCGUGCGGGAUGACGGCCUUCGGGUUGUAAACCGCUUUCGCCUGUGACGAAGCGUGAGUGACGGUAAUGGGUAAAGAAGCACCGGCUAACUACGUG
RNAcentral lists this ribosomal RNA (468 nucleotides) under uncultured bacterium. RNAcentral describes it as "partial 16S ribosomal RNA". It matches the Rfam family "Bacterial small subunit ribosomal RNA", at positions 28 to 507 of the family's 1533-position model. The record is from RNAcentral.